Molecule: RNA transcript, 1971 nt
Organism: Strigops habroptila (Kakapo)
Lineage: Eukaryota; Metazoa; Chordata; Aves; Psittaciformes; Psittacidae
Gene: KANSL2
Gene name: KAT8 regulatory NSL complex subunit 2
Exons: 9
Source: RefSeq, a predicted model, not a curated record
GAGCAGGGGAUGGGCACCGGGGCGGGGGUGGCACCGGGAGCGGGGCCGGGUUGGGAUGCUGAGCUCCCGUGUCCCCCCCUGAGCUCCCGGUCCCUCCGCAGCUCGGCAGCAUGAACCGGAUCCGCAUCCACGUGUUGCCAUCGAGCCGCGGGCGCCUCCCGCCGGUGCCGCGGGCGCAGGAGCCGCUGGCGUGUGCGUUCACCCCGCGGGCCUGCUCCCAGCCCCGCCUGGACGGGCAGGACUUCUGCAUCAAGCACAUCCUGGAGGACAGGACCGCCCCCUUCAAGCAGUGCAGUUACGUGUCGGCCAAGAACGGGAGGCGCUGCCCCAACGCGGCGCCCAAGACGGAGAAGAAGGAUGGCACCUCGCUGUGUGCCGAGCACGCCCGGAGGAACGCGCUGGCGCUGCAGGCGCAGGGCAGGAAGCCGCAGGCCGGCGCAGGGAGCGAGAGCCUGCUGUGGCAGCUGAGUGCCUAUGCCCGCGCCGAGGCGGGCGCUCAGCCCGCGGAGGGCAGCCGCAGCGAGGCCAGUCGCAUCCUGGAUGAGGACAGUUGGAGCGAUGGGGAGCAGGACCCUGUCACCGUGGAGCAGACGUGGCGAGGGGACCCGGACAGCGAGGCCGACAGCAUCGACAGCGACCAGGAGGAUCCCCUCAAGCUCUUUCCCAGGCACGCCGGGGUGUACACGGCCGAGGAGGUGGCGCUCAUCAUGCGGGAGAAGCUCAUCCGCCUCCAGUCGCUCUACAUCGACCAGUUCAAGCGCCUCCAGCACCUCCUGAAGGAGAAGAAGCGGCGGUACCUGCACAGCCGCAAGGGCGAGCACGAGGCCAUAGGCAGCAGCCUCCUGACGGGCGCCGAGGGGCUCAUGGCCAAGGAGCGGGAGAGCCUCAAGCGCCUCAAGUGCCUGCGGCGCUACCGGCAGCGCUACGGGGCGGAGGCGCUGCUGCACCGGCAGCUCCGCGAGCGCCGCGCCCUGGCCUCCGAGGGCACGGCCCAGCAGGCCCACACCACCCGCUCCAGCCAGCGCUGCUUGGCCUUCGUGGACGACGUGCGAUGCUCCAACCAGUCCCUGCCCAUGACCAGGCACUGCCUGACCCACAUCUGCCAGGACACGAGCCAGGCGCUGUUCAGGCCGUGCCGGGGCUCGGAGGACGUGCCCUGCUCCAGGGCCGUGCCCCUGAGCCUGGGCGAGGAGCCGAGCUGCCCCCUGCACCUCCGCCUGCCCCCCCCCAUGUACGUGCCCGAGCAGGGCCCGGGGGGGCCCGAGGAGCUGGGCGCUGCCCCCACCGAGCUGUACCUGAGCGCGGCCGAGCUCCAGCCCUCCGAGAGCCUCCCGCUGGAGUUCAGUGAUGGCUUUCAAAAGAGGAUUUUCCCCCUUCUUUUCCCAUCGGGAAUACAUGAGGGAUUUAAUCCUGGAUUAUUCUGCCCUGCUCAUCUUAAACCCCUCGGAAAUGGGGUUAAACGAAAGCAAAAAGCACCGGAGCCCUUUGGAGCCGCUCCUGGAGGAGGCACCUCCAUGGGCUCCAAGGGCUCCUGCUGGUGUGUCCUCAGGACCUGGACGUGGUGGGUGACGGGCUCCAGUGUCCCCCCUCGCCUCUGCUCUUUGACCCCUCCGUGGCGCUGGAUCAGUCCCUCCGCGAUGUCGCCGAGGCCGCAAUAGACAUCCUGGCCCUGGAGGAGCCUUCGGGGCCCUCGGAGCGGGGCAGCUCCUCCAGCCACAGCUUCCCCCCGGGCACCGACCUGCAGCAGAGCCCCCUCGCACCGGAGGAAGCCGCUGCCUCCACCCAGCCCCAUGGAGCCGCCAACGGGAGCCUGGGGCCAGGAUCCGGGAGCGCCGGGACCUGAGACCUCAUCCAGGAGCUGUGGGGACCCCGGACCCCCGUCCGCGCUGUGGGGGGACACGGGGGGGGGUGUAAUGGGGAGGGGGUGUCCUCCCAUGGGGAACCCCCACAAUAAAGCGAUGGAGCUCGGUG